Molecule: ribosomal RNA, 393 nt
Filed under: uncultured bacterium
Lineage: Bacteria
Description: partial 16S ribosomal RNA
Rfam family: Bacterial small subunit ribosomal RNA
Source: RNAcentral
AUACGGAGGAUCCGAGCGUUAUCCGGAUUUAUUGGGUUUAAAGGGAGCGUAGGUGGGAUAUUAAGUCAGCUGUGAAAGUUUGGGGCUCAACCUUAAAAUUGCAGUUGAUACUGGUUUCCUUGAGUACGGUAUAGGUGGGCGGAAUUCGUGGUGUAGCGGUGAAAUGCUUAGAUAUCACGAAGAACUCCGAUCGCGAAGGCAGCUCACCGGGCCGGAACUGACACUGAUGCUCGAAAGUGCGGGUAUCAAACAGGAUUAGAUACCCUGGUAGUCCGCACAGUAAACGAUGAAUACUCGCUGUUUGCGAUACACUGUAAGCGGCCAAGCGAAAGCGUUAAGUAUUCCACCUGGGGAGUACGCCGGCAACGGUGAAACUCAAAUGAAUUGGCGGGG